ACACACACACAAAAUAAUUGGUUUGCUUUCAUGGCAUACCCUUUGAUGUCUGGGGGGGAUUGUUUUUUAAAGAACCACUAUUAGUCAAGCAAAAGCUACCGAAGCAGACAGAAAGAAACUACUAAAAGUAUUUGAAAUAGAGGACAGUUUAUUAUUUAGGGCAAUGGGAUAAAGGUGCAGGAGAGUGGAAGUUCAAGUGCUGAAUCAUGUGGAUAUGCUUAGUAUGUAAAAUUGUUUAAUCUACGUGGUGACUCAGUUCCUUGUUUAUGACAGGAGGACAAAGCUUAACAGCCUUGUUAAUAAAAUAGAAUCUAUGAAUCCAUAUGAAUGAAUAUGGAAUGUGGACAUGAAGGUGAUGGCAACUUUCUCAGAACUUACCCAGUUUAUCCAGCCAGAUCUUGCUGCUGGAGAUCAUUUUGGAUCCUGCCUUAAACAAUAUUCUCUUGAAGAUCUUGUAAAAUGUUGGUCUCUGUGGUACCUGUUCAAACUGAAAUUAGAUCCUCAUUGGUUGUGACCUAAGACAAUGAAAUGAAACUAAAGAUGUAGCUCCAAAUGUACAGCUUUUGAGCAAAACACCAAAGUAGUUGUCCCAGAACAAAAUCGUCUCUAACAGAGAAGUGUUUGCACCAAUCAAAUACAUUAAUGAAGGAAUGCAAUUUUUUGAAGGUUCAGUUUGAAAGGUAUUUUGGAAGGACCUAAAUUUGCUACACAACUACUGUUCAGCUGCAGGCUAUGGAUCCAUAAGAUCUACUUCCAGAGAGUACCAGGUGCUAUUUAACAUGAAAUAAGGGUUUUCUCUCAAUCUGAAGUUCAAUUGCCCAUAUUUUCUCUAUCCCACCUCAGUUUUCUGAGUCACAAGGAUGUAUCUUGUACCUGUAUAUUAAUGGCAACAUUUGGUUUCUGUUACAAACCUCUCUUCCCACAAGUACGUGGUGGUGUUGUGUAGAACGCACAUUCCCAUAAUCAUUUCAUAUGUUUUCAGUCUUAAAAAUAAAGUUUAUAUAAUGAAAAUACAAUAUAAUUACACACAUGGGAGUUCUGGUUUGGAAGAGGUUCAGCAGAAUUCUUUGAUAAAACAAGCCCCUGACCACAAAAGCUGCAUGCAGUGAUUUGACAGUCAGACAUGUAUAAUCACUUACUCUAAAUUAAAGGCAGUGUCACCAUGGUAAGAGCAGCACACUGAAAUCCCUUCUGUCACUUUUGGCCAGCUAGUGACAAAUCCUGUAAACUUAACCAAAAUGCAUCCUCGAAUAAACUUUGAGGAACUUUUUUAAAAGGUGCUUGGGGUGGUGGGUUAUAUACGGAAAAGGAAGUGCAAAAUAUCUUUUUAUACAGGGUUAUUUUAUGAUACUAAUUGACCUCUCAUCAGCCUGGUCCUUUUUUAUUUUUUCUUUUUUUUUUUGCUUUGCACCAAUUUCUAGUAUCCAGAAAAGGACAUUUUUUUUCAGAGAAAAAAAAAUCUCAUUAGACAGAACAGAGGUGUCAAAAUCUUUGAAGGUCAACACCCUAUGGUUUCUAGGUGAGGUUUGCAAUUUGGUGUUCCUGCCAACAUCUCUCUGCAAAACACAUGAAGCCUUUUUCACUCCACCAAAACUGCCCCUUUGAGCAGAAAGUUCAUGGGCAAGAUGCUCCAUGGGUACAGAAUUUUGCAGCUCCACUGAAAGCAGCAGGAGGAUGCUGAUUUACCCCAGAUACGGAUCUGGUUUGCAGCGUGUCUCAAUCUGAAUUCACAGAGUGUGGAGUAAUGUGAAACAAGGAAGUGACUUUUGUGAAAAGCAUUUUUGGAAAGGAAAACCAAAAAUGAUGGAUGUACCACUGGGGCAGAGGGAGUGGAGCCUGCCUCAAAGAAGGCCUUGUAGAGCUGCCAAUCUUGCCACAAAAUGGGCUGCUGCCCUCAGAGAGGAGGGGGAGGUUUCUCCAGGACAAAUGCAGCCACACCAAGCACCCUAGAACCACUUUGUAGAUAUUUUUAUGUACCGUCACAUCAAAACCAGACAGAACUUCCAAAACAUUUGAAUUUGACCCAUCACUGAUUAAUGGAAGGAGGAGAAGGAGAAUGGGUGGGAAGAAUAGUCAUUGUGAACUGCCAUAACACUGGGCGGCAAGCCAUGCUAUUCAACAAAUGAGACAAUACAUUAAAAAACAAAACUCUGUUUUCAGGGGCCUUCUAUAUAUAUCAAGAGCUUGAUUCACAGACCACUGAAGUUAAUGGGAAUCUUUCCUGUGACUUUAACCAGCUAUUGGCCCUGCUGUUACAAAAGAGGAAUUAAUAUAAGUUUGCACUUAGUGUCUCAAUUAGAAGAUUGCAAGGUAGAAUAAAACAUUGGUAGUUAGUUGAUUCUAAUUAGUCAGAAUGCACACUCGUUUUUGCCCGCCUGUCUGUAGUGUGUCUUACUAUUGUAGCUAUUAGCAUAAGCCAAUAGCAGAGAAAAGACUUUAAAAAAGAAUUUUGCCCACCGGUCUGUAGUGUACCUUACUAUUGGAUCUAUUAGCAUAAGCCAAUAGUAGAGUAAAGAUUUUUAAAAAGACAAAAAAUGCACACAAUGACAAGAAAAAUAGUUAAUAAUUUGUGUUCCACCUGAUAUUUAAAGCUCUGCAAACAUAAUUAGUUGGGGGUUUGAGGGGGGAAAUCUGAUUUUCAAAUAUUGGAUACCUUUUUAUUCCUUCUUUCUGUUUCUUUCCCUCUGGAAGCAAUUAGCUCAAUCAUAUUACAAACCUUAUCUCUUCAGCUAUGCAAGUGACAUAUUGCCAUUCCAGUUAAAUGUGCAGCAGUCCUUUGUGAGGAACAGGAUUGUUCAUUUCCAUAGGAGUUCAAGAUGGGGAGAGUAAAUCAUCCUCUUCCUGAUCCAACUGAGCAAAUGGAAAAGGUGACCCUCCUCCUUUUGCCAUAACUCUGUUGGAAGUCCUGCCUCCACCAAUCUGCUGGCAGAGAGGGCAGGAUGAAACUUUGCAAAUUGCUUAGUUGUGCAAAGUUAAAUUCUCAGUCUAAUUAGGGGAAUUAAUUUCUCCUGGGUGCUGUAACAAAUUUUACCCAAGUUAGCUCAUCAGGAAAGACUGAGCUGUGAGGGUACCUGUGACAGCUCGCUGCUUCCACAGGUAAAGAGGGGCAGUCACCAGGGAAAAGGAAAUCAAUUCCUCAUGCCCACUUAAAGGUAUUUCCUGCAGGAUGUUCUUGGACAGAAUCUUUGUAAAUCCACAAGACAGUCAUUAGAUCCUCAGACCUGUUCAGCAAAGCUCUCUUGAUCAAGCUUAAAGUGUGCAUAAAACUCAACAGUUUUCCAGAUAAUCUUCACCACUUCCAGAUAAUUUUAACCAUCUUGGCACUUCUGUUUUGCCAAGGGUUUCCCUUGUAUGGCUGGAGUAUAUCCCACAGUAUUUCUCUCUGUCUUUGGGAAUUUGAGGCUGCAGCUACACUGAUUCCACCAGAUCAGCAGAAAUACUUGUGUUUUCCUUCACCCAUCACUUCUUUUCUCUCUUAUAUUUGUGACCUCAUUAAUAGAAAAUCAAUAUUUAGUGUCAUUAAGGAUCAGGACUAAAGACAUUUGUGGAGCAGAACUUUGUCAGUGAGCCAGUCACAGCUCAACUGAAAUGAUGUUUUGGUGUUUCUACAGCACAGGAAAUGCUUGUAUCACUUUUCCCCUUCCUCUCAUAUGUAAAUGCAAGCAUAUUUAAUAUCCUGGACACUUCCACUUGGUAAUGUUGGCAGAAAGUGACACUGCUGACCUGAAGUGAUCACUUGACACUGGGAAAUCAAAUAGCAGCAGCAAAUUAAGGUGACACUGAAGUUACUGUAAAUAUUGUCAUUCCUUCCAUGGCAAUAUGUGCCAGUAAGGAAAAAAGAAUUCUCCUCAUCAUACUUCAUGUAAAUAUCACAUGGAUUAUGUCUGUGUUUCAUCCAAGAAAUGCCAGCUUCAGCAAUUUCAGUGUAGAAGACUAGAACAGUUCAUAUCCAUUGAAUUCUACACUUAUGGACACCUGAAAUUCCACAGAUGAAGAUGUUGCCACUUUUCACUCUCCAUGGCAGAAAGGUUUUUUCUUUUAUUUUGACUUUUCUGUCUUUCUGAAAGGAUUUUUUUCCUCUCUCUUUUUUUUUUUUUUUUUUUGAUUGGAGAAGAAAUGUUUAAUCUGUUUAAUCUCCUUGUUUAGGGCCAGCAGUAGUUCCUCAUUCAAAAGCCAGUGCAGAGGUGCUCACUGUAUCCAACUGACAUUUUUUCUGUUACUCAGGUAAAGGUUCUCAGCAUGUACUGAAGUUUAAAUACAAACUUUAGCUCAGAUUGGGGUAUUUUCCAAAGCAAAAUCCUAAAUUGCUCCUGCUAAAAUUUGGGGGGAAAAAUGUAAGGAGAAGCUAAGAUAAUUGCUGGGAAAAGUAGAUCCCCGGAGAAAGGCAAACAACCUGGCUCUCUGUUGACUUUGCCUGGGUCAAAGGGAAAAUGUGAGUCACUGGCUUCUGCUUACAUUUUUUCUUUCAUCUUAUUGAUAUCAGGAAUAUGAGUCCAGCUCUCCAAGGUUUUCUGCCCGAGUUCCUCUCUUUGCUUGCCUGCCUUCCCAAGACCAGUCCAUUUCCUCUCUUUUAUCUUGCACUGCAACUUUCAGCUCUGCUUGUUGGAGAGGCUCGAGCUGACUCUGUGCAGAGGCAAUGGCUGCUUGAAGGAAGAGCUAAAUGUUCAUGUAUAAAAACAUUUUGGCACACAAGUAGGUAAAAGGGUUCCAGCUACAUUGCAGGAAAACAGGCAUUUUCAUUCUUCCUGUUUUUCGGUAAGUCCAUGAAGUAAAUGAUUUGAUAUUUGGAAAAUAAAGAGGCGCCUACAUCUCUGUUUCAAGAGCUGCCUGGAUGGGAAUGGUUGCUGCUGGUGAACUUCCUUGCAAGUGUAGAAGUUUCAUGAUUGUCUCCCAUGAUUUGGCUUCACAAUUGCUGAUAAUGGUCUGGGUUUCUACGCAGGAGGGAAUGUUGGAGCAUCAGCAGGACUGUGGCUGCAGGGCUGGUGCCAAGGGCAGGCCCCUCAAACCCAGCACGGUUCCACCGUGACGUUCCAGCAGGAUCUCCAGGGCUUCUCCUGGGAAGGACGUGGGGCUCUUGGAUGUGAGACCACUGGUGGAGGUCAACUGCUGGCUUGUUGUGUGAUCCCAGACAAAGCCCUAGAGCUCCUUCUGACUCAUCUUCUCUGCCUGGAAAUCAAAUCCAGUUUCUUAAGGAACUUUUUGGAUCUUGGGUUAGAGGUACAGCAGAUUAUUACUUUCACCUAUGGAUUAAAUUCUGUUAUCAAAGGAAGUGAAAAUGUAAGUAGCAUGAGUUGGGUUGAGGAAUAGUGUGAAUUUCAAAUGGCAUAAGGCAUCUAAUGAAAAUUACAAUUGAAGAAUAAAAUACUGUUCCUUAUGCUGAGAUGAUGGCUGAAUCAAACCCAAAUUCUUUUAAAAGCCAUCUCAAUUGGAAACUAUUAGGUAAUUUCUUUGGAGAGUGGGGCAGGGGGUAGAUGAUAUUCCUUCUACAAUUACUGAGCCUUCUAUAAGUGAAAUGAUCUCUUUGCAUUCCAGUGAUGACCCCAGCCAUGGAUGAAAGCCGAGUUUCCCAUCUGACCUCUUGUUUUAAGUUUCUACCUGUGUAACUCUGCAUUGUGGAUAUUAACUCUCUGGGGCCUGUAGGUGAGCACAACACUGAGAGCAAAUGAAAGGUGGAGCUCUCCUUUAAGGAACCUGAAGUUUAAGGAGCGUUAUUCCCAGAGUUAACUCCAUUUGUGCUGGAAUUCCCUUGGAGAUCAAAUUCUACAGUGUGACUGCUUACAAAACCUGUGGGGCUCCAAAAACCCACAGAGGGAGGAAGUGGCUUGAAAACGGAACUCCAUGAUGAAAAUUGAACCCCAUGAUGAAAACUGAACCCCAGGAUGGAAACUGAACCCCAGGAUGGAAACUGAACCCCCUGAUAAUUAGAACUUUAUUAAAUAAAAGUGCUAAGAGAUGAGAUGCUGAGCAGUGGCACAAAGAGGCAUCCUCAAUGUGAGAAUCUCCCGAAGAACUCCACGCAGAACUCCACAUUCUGCUUGCCAAAAUAAAAAGGUAUGAAAAUUUGCACUUAGAAAACUCCAGUGGUUCCUGUCUGAGGGGCAGUUUCACAGACAGCUCUUGCCCCAGCUAGAGAGUAGACAGAGUAAUUGCAAAAUACUCUGCUGGUGUAAAUCAGGACAUGAUGUGUGUGCCCCAAACCUGGUGCUUUACACCCAGGGAGGAUCUGGCCUGUAGCUUCCAAGGUGGCAAGAGAAAAUGUUUUCAUUUGCAGCAUGUCUGGGACAGAUAGAAAUGUCUUUAAGCCUGAAGGUCUUCAGUGCUGGGUUUGUGGUUUUUUGCUUCAUUGACCCCGUUCCUGGCUGAUUAGAUAAUGAGAGAAAAGUGUGCUGUUAACAGCUCCGGAGCAACGUGCUGCAAAUUUAGGGAAAUGAAAAAUCUUUAACAAGAAUUGAAAGGAAAUCAUUGAUUUAUGGCAGGACCUUCAGCUAAGCAUGGAUUAAUUAAAAAGCAAUGCAAAGAUGAGCACGGGUCAAGAAAUGAGCAAAGAUUGAAUUUUGCCAGGAGCGGGACCGUGAGCGGGCACGUGGGUGAGUGAUAACAACACCUGGCCAUCUGCAGAGAGGGGGGAAAAUUCCUCUUGGCAAAAGCUGAAAUGUCACAAGUGAAAGGCAACCAGCAAAAUGUCAGCAGCUGCUCUGGAGAUGGUGCUCAGAGGAAAACACAGACAUUCUCUUACACCAUGGCCAUAGGUGUGGUGUUGUCCUAUUUAUAGGGCUAAGGUAAUCAGGCAGCACCCCAGAGCCAAAAAUGCAUCUUGGGAGUUAUAACAGAUAUCUCCUGGCACAUGGUGGGAGAACACAGAGGCGGGGAUCUGUCUCCAGCUCCAGCCGUGGGAGCAGCAUGGAAAGGGCAGCUCCUAGCAGUCCCCAGGCACCCACAGCACUGCUGAGUGGCAGGGAGUGUUCGUGCACACACACAGCUCCCAGUGGGAUAUAGGUAGGGAGCAAGGAGGUUGGGUCAUGCAUUCCCACUCCAGGGAAUGAAAAUGUUGCCAUUUUUUAAAAUGUGGGUUCAUUGUCAUGUUACUGUGAUGGUUGUUUCAGUCUGUGGACUAAACAUAGGCUUUCUUAAUUAUCUAAUCCAUUUAAUUUGUGAAGUGGAGGGGUUUAUGAAGGCAGAUUUUUUGGCUGUGCUGGUGAGGUAGUAAUAAUUCAGAGCCACAGUUAUGAAGUGCUGUUUAGUAGUGGUGGGUUUAGACUUUUGGUUAUUGUGUGCAUUUAUUUUUCUUUAUGGUUUUGUAAUUAUUUAUAUUGGUAACAGGGAGUUUGUGAACACCACUCUGUUGUUGUGCUCAUAUGAAAGAGCAAUAUUGUUUGCAGAACAAUUAUUUGGAAUUUUCCCCCCCCCUCUUAGCUACCUUGUCAUUUGAACAUAAGCAUGUAGGCUGAUUGUAAUGGGAAAACAAGGAAUUACAAUUAUUAACCAAGGACAAGGGAUUGUAUUUUACAGAGGGGGAAGAGAGACAGUGUGUUCCAGCUGUUCACCCAGAUGCUCAUACACUAUCAUCCUCGCUUCUCCAGUAGAAAUCUGUCAUCCUAAGUCUCUUUGCAAAUCCAGCAAAAAAAGUAAUUUUUGCAUUUUCAACCCUUGGCACCCUGUUAACUUGUCCCCAUGCCAGUUCCCAGGAGUUCCUGGUAGCUGCUGGAGUGGUACAAACUUUGCAGAGAAAUGCCAGCAUAAACAACUAGAGGCAAAAGAUCAAAAUCUCCUAAAAGAUGUAGAAGCACAAGUCCUGGUGAGAAUCACUGGGAUUCAAAACCUCCUCCGUUAGCUGCCAUGGAGAGAUCCAACCCUGGAUCCCCAAAAGAGGAACAUUUUUAUUGAGGCAUCAGAUUCCUGGAGGGGAACAGCUCUGCCCUGUGGCUUGUCUGCUUCAAUGGAAGGGAAUUAACUUCCAGAAGGUUCAGGUUUCCCUUUGCCAUAUACUGCUGCAGAGGUUCUCCUUGGUGUCCUUAAAAAUAUCUUCCCUUAGCCAUUAGUCUUUUGGAAUGAUGAGGAAUUGCAAUGACUCUUCAAACAGCAUCAACAUUCAGUGCUCUUCCUCCCCCAUCCACAAUCAUAAAAAAUUUGAAUUAGGGUUCCCAGAGACCGUUUUGGAGAGUAUCAUAAUGGUGGGAGUUGAGAAAAAAAAAAAAUUGAAGAGGAACUUUUUAUGAUCAGUUUAACUCAUCUAGCCAAAAAAAAAAAAAAAAAAAAUAAAAAUCACUGAACUCAUCUUGAACAUUUUCUCCUUGAGUGGAGGAUUCCAGCAGUGGAAAAAAAAGCACUUUGGGAAGCAGUGGAGGGAAGUUUACACAGAUGGUAUGAGAGAACUGGCAUUGUGCUUGAAGAUGUGGUGGGCCAGAGAAAAAGCUGUCCUAAAUAGAAGGGACAAGAUACUGGGUUUAAUUUAGAAAUGCUAUUGGCAUUUUUGUUACCGGAAUGAAGGGAGCCAUGAGUCUGCAAAUGAAACAACCCAAACCCUUCACCACAACCAUGGAGUGCAGCAAAAGUGCAGCAGCUUGGCAUUUGCAGGCUUUGAAUUUUUUUCCUUUGUCUCGCCAGCUUCUGGAGUGCUCUCUCACCUAUUUAGUUGCUUAAAGGUAGCUUGUAAGUACAAAAUGUCAGCCUGGGCUGAUGCUGCAAAGAUUUUUCCAAAAUUCCAGCCAUUCCUUUGGUUUAGCAACUGUAAAGCUCUUGCAACUAUUAUCAUUUGUGGUGGUCACAAGGAAGUGACACUGUCCAAUAAAAUCCCCACCACAAGUCAAGCUACUUAGCAAGGACGUAAUUUAGACCUUGGUUUGACAGCUUUUUUUCCUACUCCAUGUGAAUUGACCAAGUUCAGUUCUUUGUUAGAGGCAUUUGGAGCUGUUUGAGGUUUUCUAACAGUACAAGAGAAAGUGGUCCCCAGUAUGCCAUCCUUCUCCUUGCUUAUGAAAAUAUACUCUAAUAAAAGUACUGGAAGAACUGAGAAAUAUGGUUAGUAACUACUUGGUAAAACUGGAUUAAGAUUUUGUUCUAUUUAUGUUAACAAUAAUCAUUGUGGUUUAGUGGCAUUUAAAACAGCUGGAACCUUCUGUUUCAGCUGGUGUUUUGAUAUGUCAUUUUUGCUUGGACUUUGGUCCUGAUUUUCUGGUCUAUGUGAAACAGGUAAAUCAUUUAUGUAUCUCAGAGGAGUGCUUUUAAUUUAGGAACUUAGAGAAUUACCAAGGGUGGUUAUUUUAAUCUCUGCCACUCAGUCACGAAGGGCUAGGUCAGAAAGCAGAUUUAGGAAUAUAAAUUGGUAGAGAAGUCAAAUUCAGGUACUAUGCCUGUAAACUAAAUCUGAAGCCCCAAAACCCUGUUUGAAGUCUCUGCAUUUUGAAGUCCUGUACAUGCUCAAGGGCACCUGAAUCUUGAUAAACUUCAGUGUGAUAAAAUUCUCUCUUGGUGGGGGAAUCCAGCUGGGAAGGGAAUCCUCCAUGCCAAUGCCACUGUACCCUGAAUUUACUGCCCAGGGCUGAGUGAAUGCCUGCAUGUGCCAAACUGCAAAAACGUGUAGAGGGAGCAUCUUUAGCUCCAGUACAUUGGAGCUGCUGUAGAAUGACCAGGGAAAAGCGCUGGGAGGUCUGCGGGACUGCGGUGGCCGAUUAGUUUAACUCUACUGGGUGUGUUACAGCCCCCAGCAGCAGAUUAGAUGUCAAGUUUAUUGUGUACUGGGAUAAGUUCAGCCACUCCUUAUCUCCUGAAAGCGCCUGCCCCCCUGGGCAGGGCUUCCAGGAUAAUUUGAGUGUGAAAGGAAAAGAGCAGAGGCUGUAGAGAGAACUAGCAGCUGCCCAAAGUAACCCUGUCUUGGCUUCCAGGUUGCAGAGCCCAGAAAAUGGCAGAUUUCAUAACGGAAGGUAAAAUUUUGGAGGUUAAUAUCUCUGGAGGUUAUUUUGUGGGGCAAAAUUGCCUCUGAUUCUCCAGAGGAUUUGAGAAACUCUGAAAAGAGAGUUUGGAGAAAAAGCAAGUAUGACCUUACCUGGUGCUGUGCAGCAAUGUAUUGGUCACAGUCUGUGAUUUCGAUGUUAAAUUAUCUGGGAAAAUGCAGUAGUUAUAUCAUCAUAAAUGCAGAGUUUAAUAUUCAUCACGUUUUGUUUUCAUUUUGUUCUGUAAUAUGCUCUUCCCCACACUUUCUGUAUAAGGACUGUCAGAGGAAAAAAAGAGACGCAAAUCUCAUCUUUGCAGCUUGCAAAGGGUGUGGGAAAUCCAAUAAUCCAAAUAAAGUAUAAUUUAAAUUAAAAAUCAGAAAUAAAAAAUUAUAACAACAAUAACAACAACAGUAAUAAUGUUUGGGACAUUCAAAAGCAAUAAGGUCUUAGUCCUACAAGGAAGCAGGCUGGGAUUCAAGCAUAUGUAGAGGUUUCCACCAAGAAAUACGGGUUGAAACAUACAAAAAGCUCUAGAACUAGAAAGAAAUUCUUGCUUUAGUGCUCUCUGUUUAUUACAAAGGAUUUACAUGAAACAUUAAAGGGCUCAGCCCCGACCAGGCAGAGGCAAGGCUGGCAGGAGAGGGAAGCAACCAAAAGGAAGUGCCGAUAAUGUCUCUCACCACUGAUACCUGGGUCUGUGCAGAUAGUUAAUAGAUAACGCCUCUGGAGAUAAGUUCUCCCAAACCAAGAGAAUUCCUUCUUUUCGUGCCCUGCAAAUGGUUUCCUUUGUCUGGUCCUUUCAGCAGCUCUCGACAACAUCUGCAGGGGAAGUGGCUCCCUCCUGAUGCAAACUUUUCGGGGCUGCCCGGGGGCUCUGCUCUCUCUCCCAGCCCGGAGCCCAUCACCCCCAGCAGGAGGGUUUGCCUUCUGGACCUGCCGCUUGUCUUUCAGAUGCAAAGCGGGCAACUCCUGCCCCAGACUUUGUCAAGAGAUUUGGCUGCGGUGAAGCAAUCCGAGGCAGGGCAGAGCCUGCAGAAUGCAGUGCAGAUGGAGGAAUGACUACACAACUGGGUUUUCAUGUCGGGAGCCUAGGGUCCAGUGGUAAUUUAUGCCUGUGCAGUCCCACAGGCAGAUAAUGAACAUGUGUUACAUUUGCUGUGGGAAUGCCGAACUGUUAAAGAACAGCAGGCUGUAACAAAACUCUAGGAAAAGCCAUAUCCUGCUGUCAUUUCAUAAUGGACAUGAGGUUUGACCAUAGCACAAUGUGGGAUGUGUGGCAACUUUUGCACAGGACUAGCUUGGAGGGACUUUUUGGAUAAUGCAGUGAACAUCUUCAGAAAAUGAAGCUAAUGAAAAAAUGCUCUAACCGAACCCCCGUGAGAUCCAGAUUUUUCCUUCUCAGGGAAUGUCCUAUGGUUGAGUUUUACUUCCACUCCUAAUGAAAGCAAUAAAACAAUCCAGAAAGCCAUUACAAAGCAUGAUUAUGAAUACAGUAAUUGUUGGUCAAUCAAGUGAUUUGUUUGAAUAAAAGCUAAAUAUUUAAUUUAGAUGUCAACUUGAAAUAGUAUGGAAAAUAGGGGGAAAUGUUUUGCAAUGUAAAAUUGAAAAUGUCGUUUUGAAAAUGCAGUAACAUUCAAUUUUCAGCAAGCCAAUUCUUUUGCUUUUCUCUUCAAAAGGAACAUUAAUCAAGCUCAUCACUGUUAGGCAGAUGUUUUGUUUUCUUGAAUUGGCAGUUUCUGAGAGUUUAAAUGUAACUGACUUGUAUGUUAAAUACCAAAAGAUAUCUUUAAAAGGUGAUGUAAUCCCAAGGAGUUAAAAGUGUUGCUGAGAACCUAUGCUAUCCAAAAAAUACCAGAAAGAGUCCUACAGUUGAAGGUUUGGAUUUUUUUCCCUUGGUCAGAAAUAUUUGUAUGGAUGAAAUUAUAAUAAGGAUCAGAAAAAAGAUUAAACAAUUUCACUGAUUUUUCCCUGGGUCUAGAACUUCUGUUUAUCAGAUGGUAUUUUUUUUACCGAAGUGGAACAAGCCAGAAUACUGUGUCACUUUUAUUUUCACAGGCUAAGUCUAAGAAAAAGCCCUAAAAUAUUUCCUGACCAACUGAAAAGGUAUCCUAGAGGAGCAGGUGCUUGUUGGUGAGGUAAAUAAUGUUUUCUGGUCAAGUCCAGCUGCAGCUGUUUGGGUUUUUAGACAUUGAUUUGCAUGGCAGCCUGGUGUAGCGGGGAGAGAAAUCAGCCCCGAUGACACCUGUGGGAAGCUGCUCUUCUUGGGGCUGCAAUUAAGCUCCACAGUAGCUUUUGGGAAUCAAUGGGAAUUAAAUGCAGAUAACAGGCAUUAAUGGAGCAUUUAUUGGAAAUAAUUUAAAUGGUGUUUAGUGGUGGCUUAGUUAAUGGAAAUUAAUGACUAACUAGGGUUUGGGUACAGGCAGAACUGCUGGAAUGUGGCGAAAGUCAAUACAGGCAGCUCCAAAUGGCAGGGGUAAGGAAGUGCUUAUUGACAAUAGUGAUCUUCAAUAUUUUCCAUUGGAACUAUAAUCUGAUUCAGGCCGUGUUGCUGUGGACUUCGCCCAGAGCACAGGGAAAACAAAUUAUUAAUGAUAUUGUAAAUGCAAAGUGUCACUAAUCUAGUAAGUUGCUAUGCUGGGUAUUGAAAUAAUUAAUGCAGUAGAUCAUUCUUAAUUAUAGUUUUGUAUUUACAGACAAACUGAAACUGAGGCUGGUAUUGAUUAAAAGAGGUGCCAUAUUGCAGACUUUUCUAACCCUGUAACUAUAUUGUUCUUGAAUUUCAUACAGUGUAGCUUAGCUUUUUACAUCUGAUUUGAAUUACUUGAAUGUCUUAAAGAUCUGUGUUCCAACCAGAUGUGAGAAAUUGCUUUGGUUUGGAAAGUUUCAAGGAAGGACCACCAAAUAAUGAGGGAAAAACCAACUCUCUAUUAUUUUCCCCCUACACCUUAGUGGAAAAUAUAGAAAAAUAGUAUCUUAAUUUAUUAAUACAACUUGGGAUCCUGUCGGGAAAAUGUUCCUUACCUGCAAAGUUUCUUUAUCUUUCUUUCCAGCCCAAGAUUAUAUACUGGACUUGAUAAACCUCUGUAACUGAGAGACUUAAACAUUUCUACACAUAGUAAUACUAUUUACUGUGCUUUAUGCAUGUUCUGUCACACAGCCAACUCUUUAACUAGGCAGGAUUUCUCUAGUUUAACUGCUGGUUUAACUACAAUAAUUGGCUGUACUGAGAGAAUACAUAUAGCCCAGUUAACUGUAGUAAAACCACAGACUUUUUUUUCUCUUUUUCUUGUCAUUAAACUUCUAGAUAUUUUUAAAAUUUAGUUAUUAAAAAAAUAACUAAAAUGUUCAGUUUAAUAUGAAGUCAUUACCUUUUAACAGAAAGGCUUGUACAUAAUUUCCUGUAAGGAAUCAGAUCAUAUACUAAUUCUGCUCCACAUUUUGUUUUGUUGUGUCUAUUUGAGAGAAGUACUUUAAGUCUCAGAAUCUAUUCUCUUUUGCAAAGUUAUGUGAUAAAAAUUAGAGACAUUCUAGUUUCCAAAAUUUUCCCUGCCACAUAUGGAAAACCUUCCAUUCCUGUGAAAUUCUCAUCGGUGAACUGGGAAUGACUGCUAGAAACUGACCACAAAGAGUAUGAGUAAAGCCAAGUGAAAUGAUCUACAAAGGGUAAAUAAAGGUUGGAGAUUUCUUUGGAAAUAUUUCCAGAGCUCUGUUGAACAAGUCACUGAAAUCUGGAAGAAUUACCUGGUUUGUUAUGCCAUAUAACAGUGUUUCAUAAUGACAUGAAUUUCAAGCUAGUGGCAAAAGCUGCAAUAAGCAGGUUACUAUUACCUCACAAAGAUAUCAUCUGUACUUCCUUGAGAGAAGUCCAAGGAGUACAGAGACCACGUUUCAAGUACUAAAAAUGGCUGGAGAAUAUAAUUGGCAUCAUUCCUUUUCAUUAUACCUGGUGGUUUGUUCCAGGAUUUACAGUCUUGACCUUGAUGUGCCAUAAACAGAGCCUUCAUUUAAAAGGGAUUAAGGCUGGUUAUGUGUGAUAACCCACCUUAACAUAAAUGCUGUCUUUUAGAAGAUGCCAAGUUAUGGAACACCCCCUACCCAUUCCAUUGCCAAUGGCUACAACACUGCUUUGGAGAACACCUCCUUGCCACCCAGGGAAAGCAGAACAUCCUAAGGAUGAGUCUUCCCAGGGUCCAAACCCCUGUCUUAGGAAGGCCAUCCACAGCACCAUUAUUUGGGAUUGACAGACGUGGCAGUGCUUUCUGAAGUUCUUUGGGCAGAGCCUCAGUCAAGAGACCCUCCCAGGGGUGAUUCAACCUGAAUUCCACAGUCUCAUGAAGGCAGAGCUUUGGCUUGUGAUUUGGGCAAGGUUCAGCCCAACUUCACACUGAGUGGGGCCUCCCUGGCUCCCAAACUGGUGCUCAGGUCAGGUCAGCUCAGAAUUAAAGAGCUGGAACUGCCUGUACAUCUGUUGAGUCCCCCCAAAGUCUGAAGUACAAACCAUAAGGGCAACCAAAUGCUAAGAAUUAAACCUUUUUCCUAUACACAGCUCUCAGAUGAACCUGGUCCCCAUUGUUGCUCCUCUCCAGCAGGAAUUCUGGGGAAAAUGGCCAUUUCUCUGCAAAUUCCUUCCCACAUAGCACACACACACACACAGACAGGGGGUUGUGAAAUUGCACCUUCACCGAGGGUUUUGUUACAGGCUGGGUUAAGCCCUGUUGAAAAUGGUAGGUUUAACCACCGCCCUUCUCUUCAGCGGCACUGGAGGAGACAGUUCAGCACAUGUUCCUGCCCAAAACAAAGGCAUAUGUAAGGUUGCCCAGGAAUUCCAAAGAUCUGGGUGGGGAGCCUUGCAGAGUUUGUUUUGGGCAGGGAUGCAUGUGGAAAAAAGGCAGAGCAGGCUAAGCAGCAGAGAUGGGGCUCAGAGCAGGCUGGGAGGAAGGUGGGCAGCCUGCAGGAUCCUGGAGAGAGGGAUUUCAGUCCUUGAGCUUUCCUGGGCAGCAGGACCAAGGAAACCUUCUCCGCUUCCAUGAGAGAGGAAAAGUGAUUUAGCAGUGGUUCACAAUGGGCAGCUGUGAAUCCACGCCUGUUCAAAGCUGUACACAAUUGUAGUCGUCUCAAGUAACAAAAAAUGGGAUAAGCACACAAGAAAGUGGAAUCAAGAGAUUUGCUUGCCUGUGUUCCUGGAAAGCAGGGCCAGAAUACCUUGUCACUACCUCCAGCCAUUACAGAAUUGUGAAAAUCUGGUUAUUUUUUAGGCUGAAAAUGAGACAGUUUAAGGAAGCCCUUACAGGUCCAUUCUUAUAUUAAUUGAAAGUCACAGUCUGAACAAGAUUAUUUGAAAAUUCCCAGACAAUUCAGCCUCUGCUGUGUAGACUAUGAACACUGAAUUCAGUAAAUUCUGUAUACAGCUGGAACAAAGUGUCUGAGACCUUCUUUAGUUAAUAAAUGUAAGUGAAAUAUUUGAACAAUCUGAUAACAAACACUCAGACAGGCCCCAGACUGCUUAUUUAAGUCACAGUUGUAACAAGAGCUCUGGAAGAUUUACCUGUGGUAGGACUGCAGAUGUGGUUACUCAGAGAUUUUUGGUCAUAUUUUCAAACUCAUAUAACUGUACUUUAUUUCUGUAUAUUUCAGCUGGGGCAGCACCCAGAAACAGGGAUUUACAGCCCUUUAUUCCCUCCAUCAUUCACCUUGAAGGCCAUGCAGCCCUCACUCCUAGAGCUGCUGAUAUAAAGAUAAUCAUCUUUGGAGUGAACUUCCUAGGAACCAAGUCCUCCUCCAGCUGGAGGCAAUGGAAAUACUGUUGCUGACUGCAGUGGCAGUAAAUCUCAGCUCUAUCAUUUUUUAUGACACCUCUUCUUGCAACAGAUACGUUUACUGGAUCGUUCACUGCUAAUUGCCUGCAUUUUUUCCCUUCAUGUUAUUAAAUGCAAUUUGUAACAUAUUUCUCAUUUUUUAACAAGAAAAAAUAGCAAGUUAUGGAAAGGAAGAACUGUCUAUGUUGAGCAGAUCUCUUAAAUAUUGAACUUAUCUCAUUUGUCUUCCUUUUCUUUAUCCAUCCAUUUAAAAGGAAGAUGUUUAUGAUGUGAGGUUUGGCAAAUAGCUCAUAAAAAGUAAAUCUUAUUUUGUUGUGAUGCAGAGAGAGGGGAAGGAGAAAUCCUGUAAUUUCAGCAAUUUCUUUUUCUUUUUCACACUAAGUUACAACUCAGCCUGAGUUGAAAUGACAGAUACCAAUCCCAAGAAUCAAGAUUAUCAGUGGAAAUGCCAACUGACUCUUCAGAACAGCGUUGUUAGUGGCACCACUCUUUUACUGGAGUGAAUCCAAAGGGCGUUUGCUCUCAAAUCAAGCAUUAUGUUCUCACUUUUCUAGUCUCACAUCAUUUAUUUGAAAGCCAUUGUUUCCCCUGGUUCACAGCCAUCCCCACGUGUGUGAUCAGAAACAUUAACGUGCCAUAUUUUAUCUGCCCCUGGGCAUCAGUGCUCAAGGUGUUGAUGCUGAUGUAGGAUGAGGAUGCUCACCACCUCUCCAAGCCAUGGACAUGGUGAAGGUGAUGACUACGGGCUCUUAUAAAUGCACUUAGGGGUUGUGGUGUUGCAAUCCAAGGCUGCCCACGUGUUGUUUUUGUGUCUCAUUUCUUCACAGAGAACCGCUGCCGGUUCUAUCAUUUGUUAAUGUUUCCAUGAUGAGCUUUCCAUACUAUUUUUACUUGAUAAUUCUUAAUCAAGGCAGGAAUUCUGCUUUCAGCAGAGCAGGAUAAAGCACUGACCUCCACAGCACUGAAUGUUUGUCCUCUCUCCCUUUCUCAUCCACCAAAUUCCACCUUGUGUGGACUCACCAGACACUGGGAACAGAGCUCUCCUCACAGAAUGUGGAGCGAGAUACACUCUGAGCUCAGUCACUCCCCUUCCCUGUGGAGAUAAUGGGAAAAACCAGAAACCUGUAUGCUGUGAUUCACCUUACCUGUCCCAGACAUCUGGGAGAACUGAGAGCCAACAGUGCCUCACACCGUGCUGACCGGUUCAGACACUUUCUUGCACUGUGGAUCUCCCUCUGCUCAGCUGAACCCCACGCCUGCUUUUCUUAAUAUGACCUUAAGUAUAAUGUAACUCCACCUCAAGCCAUUGUUUUUUGUGAUUUAUACAAAUUUCCAAACCUUUAGUCUGCUUGUCUUGAAGGCAUUUUAAUAAAUGGGUGCAUCACAGGAUUUCAGAAAAUAACUGAAGUCACCACAGGACAAAGCAGCGCUGACCACACACUAAAAGCUGUCCCUCUGUCUCUCACUGAAAUGAACAUUUCAGUAUCAGCAGGAAGGAGUAUUCCACAGUUGGGAUCUGGUAAGGUGGUCACAAUCUUCUGCAUGGACUCACUCAUGAUAGAGAAGGAUUCUUUUGCAAACAAGAAGAUGUCAUACUGCAAACAGAAACCAAGGAAGUUCUUUUGUUACGAGAUGUUAAGUGACAUGCUUGGUACUUCUGUCUUGAGUGGUUUGGGCUUCCUUUAAAAAUUAAGGUGUGAAAUUAGUUUAUUGGAUCCUGUCUAAAAAGCCACAGAGCCUCCUAGAUUGAAUCCUGUCCUUCACUGAUUUUUAUUUUAAAAAACUUGCUUAUCUGUAAUUUCUGCCAGUGGCUUUAAAGCAGAUUGCCCCACAGUUCUGAAAGGUGACAGAGUGAGAUGUCACUCAAUAGGGUUGGCAUUAUCUAGAUUCCCUUUAACUGCUUAAUUUUGCUAACUAGGCUGUCCAAAAUCCCGGUGAGCACCCAAACCCAAACUUUGCACACAUGAACUUUUGCCACCAACCAAAUAAAUCUCUCAUUUUGACUACAGAAAAAGCUAACUUUCCAUCUGAAUUUUGGAGUCUGGGUUUCCCUCUACUUCCUGCAAGAGAGCGUUGUUACAUCAACUCCUUGCAGAGUUCCUGUCUAAUUGAACCACUAGUGGCAUGCAUAUGUGCUAAAUAAAGGAAUGUCAUUAAAAAUUUAUGAGUGACUUACACUUUGAAGCAAUAGAGUGUUAAAGACUUAAAAAGAUUUUUUUUUCCUUCCCUCCCCCGCUCAGGUCCUUCAGACCAGGAAUUAUUUGCAAUGCACAGAGCUCAUUUGGGAUUUGACCACUGUUAUUAUUAUUCCCUUUUGCAGUGUACUAUGCCCACAUCUUUUUCAAUUUCCAUGAAUAUUGACCAAGAUCUAAGCAGUGAGGUGAUGUGAAACCCUCUCAUUGAUUUUCAAACUAUGCAACCCAUAGAUAACUCACCUUACCCUGGGCCCAGAUUUGCAUGAAACUGGGGGCUGAUUGUCUCAGAAAGUGAAUCCAGCCAGAAGUCCAACCAAUCCCUGCUGGGUGUGAAGCACAGAGUGAAGUUACAAUGGUAGGUUUUGGAUGGCUCCAGGGUUUGUAAUGGAUGCUUUGCACAGCUGUAAUGAUGAGUGGGUGAAAAGAGUUGAGAAUGAAUCAAGUGUGGGUGGUGGAAAUAUUUGCUGGGCAUGUCACAGCCAGGGGAGGAAGCACAGGGGCCUCCCAGCCUCAGUGAUGGGAAAGAUGUCAAGGUUCCCUGGACAUGGGCCCUGUUUAUUUAUUUAUUUCAGCUCUGACACGCUCCCUGUAAGAGAGCAAAAAAUGUGACUUCGAUACCAUGUCUUUUAAAAGCAGGGAGCUGAUUGUGGCUGAGCAGCAGAGCUCUCCUAUAAUCUGCUUCCCAACGUGUGGGUGCCUCUUGGGUUUCCUCAGCUAUUUUAUGGCCCAUUUUCAAAGAUUUUUGUAAAACCAGGCCAACAACGUCUGCAUCCCCUACCACAUCAGUGAAAAGUUGGACCAUGUUUCAGAGCCAUGUAAAUUCCUUCUAUAAGAAACAUUUACAUUUUUACAAAGUGUAAAUUUAGCAGACCACGGGGUGAAUUCCUCCCUCAUCACAUUGCAGCUGCCACAGGGAUGGCUUGACUAAUAGUUUACCAGGAGUGAGCAGAAAAAAGUGCAGCACGUGUACCAUUACAAAGGUUUCUUCCAGGAUUGCCGUGACUUGUUCAGAUAGUUGAUAAGAUAAUUAAUUCUUACUGUUCGUGUAUUUUCAUGAGAACUUACCUAUGAGUAAACAAAACUCCAAGCCUAGUUGGUGUUUCUUUAUUGUAUUAUUACAUGGCUCUGUAAGUGCAAUAAAGCAAUCUCCCGACUUC
Serinus canaria (Common canary) is the source of this 19100-nucleotide long non-coding RNA. RefSeq lists it as uncharacterized. The record is from RefSeq and is a predicted model, not a curated record. The transcript is spliced from 3 exons. NCBI's taxonomy places the organism in Eukaryota, Metazoa, Chordata, Aves, Passeriformes, Fringillidae.